GAUGAACGCUGGCGGCGUGCCUAAUACAUGCAAGUCGAGCGAACAGACGAGGAGCUUGCUCCUUUGACGUUAGCGGCGGACGGGUGAGUAACACGUGGAUAACCUACCUAUAAGACUGGGAUAACUUCGGGAAACCGGAGCUAAUACCGGAUAAUAUAUUGAACCGCAUGGUUCAAUAGUGAAAGGCGGCUUUGCUGUCACUUAUAGAUGGAUCCGCGCCGCAUUAGCUAGUUGGUAAGGUAACGGCUUACCAAGGCAACGAUGCGUAGCCGACCUGAGAGGGUGAUCGGCCACACUGGAACUGAGACACGGUCCAGACUCCUACGGGAGGCAGCAGUAGGGAAUCUUCCGCAAUGGGCGAAAGCCUGACGGAGCAACGCCGCGUGAGUGAUGAAGGUCUUCGGAUCGUAAAACUCUGUUAUCAGGGAAGAACAAAUGUGUAAGUAACUAUGCACGUCUUGACGGUACCUGAUCAGAAAGCCACGGCUAACUACGUG
Molecule: ribosomal RNA, 497 nt
Filed under: uncultured bacterium
Lineage: Bacteria
Description: partial 16S ribosomal RNA
Rfam family: Bacterial small subunit ribosomal RNA
Source: RNAcentral